The sequence is a transfer RNA, 123 nucleotides long. It matches the Rfam family "tRNA". Rfam says of the family: Transfer RNA (tRNA) molecules are approximately 80 nucleotides in length. The record is from Rfam.
GCCCGCGUGGUCUAGUGGUUCAGGACGUCGCUCUAACGCUAGCGGAGAUCUUCUCUACGUUGCGGCGUAGAGUGGCUCUCCGCUAGGGUGGCGAAGGCACCGGUUCGAAUCCGGGAGCGAGCA